This 72-nucleotide transfer RNA is filed under the name Neotoma lepida (desert woodrat). It matches the Rfam family "tRNA". From Rfam's summary of the family: Transfer RNA (tRNA) molecules are approximately 80 nucleotides in length. Their secondary structure includes four short double-helical elements and three loops (D, anti-codon, and T loops). Further hydrogen bonds mediate the characteristic L-shaped molecular structure. tRNAs have two regions of fundamental functional importance: the anti-codon, which is responsible for specific mRNA codon recognition, and the 3' end, to which the tRNAs corresponding amino acid is attached (by aminoacyl-tRNA synthetases). tRNAs cope with the degeneracy of the genetic code in two manners: having more than one tRNA (with a specific anti-codon) for a particular amino acid; and 'wobble' base-pairing, i.e. permitting non-standard base-pairing at the 3rd anti-codon position. Lineage: Eukaryota; Metazoa; Chordata; Mammalia; Rodentia; Cricetidae. The record is from Rfam by way of RNAcentral.
AGGGAUGUAGCUCAGUGGUAGAGUGUUUGUCUGGUAUAAGCAAGACCCUGGGAUCAAACCCUAGCAUCACAG